Molecule: unclassified non-coding RNA, 343 nt
Filed under: soil metagenome
Description: partial contains 5.8S ribosomal RNA, internal transcribed spacer 2, and large subunit ribosomal RNA
Rfam family: 5.8S ribosomal RNA (bases 1-120)
Source: RNAcentral
GAUGAAGAACGUAGCGAAAUGCGAUAAGUAAUGUGAAUUGCAGAAUCCAGUGAAUCAUCGAAUCUUUGAACGCACAUUGCGCCCGCCAGCAUUCUGGCGGGCAUGCCUGUUCGAGCGUCAUUUCAACCCUCGAGCCCCCCCGGGGGCCUCGGUGUUGGGGGACGGCACACCAGCCGCCCCCGAAAUGCAGUGGCGACCCCGCCGCAGCCUCCCCUGCGUAGUAGCACACACCUCGCACCGGAGCGCGGAGGCGGUCACGCCGUAAAACGCCCAACUUUCUUAGAGUUGACCUCGGAUCAGGUAGGAAUACCCGCUGAACUUAAGCAUAUCAAUAAGCGGAGGA